Molecule: ribosomal RNA, 253 nt
Filed under: uncultured bacterium
Lineage: Bacteria
Description: partial 16S ribosomal RNA
Rfam family: Bacterial small subunit ribosomal RNA
Source: RNAcentral
UACGUAGGGUGCAAGCGUUAAUCGGAAUUACUGGGCGUAAAGCGUGCGCAGGCGGUUAUGUAAGACAGAUGUGAAAUGCCCGGGCUUAACCUGGGAACUGCUUUUGUGACUGCAUGGCUAGAGUUUGGCAGAGGGGGGUAGAAUUCCACGUGUAGCAGUGAAAUGCGUAGAUAUGUGGAGGAACACCGAUGGCGAAGGCAGCCCCCUGGGUCAAGACUGACGCUCAUGCACGAAAGCGUGGGGAGCAAACAGG